GAUAUAGCUCAGUGGCAGAGCAUUUGCCUAGUAUGCAUAAGCCCUGAGUUUGAUUCCCAGUAUC
Molecule: transfer RNA, 64 nt
Filed under: Cavia porcellus (domestic guinea pig)
Lineage: Eukaryota; Metazoa; Chordata; Mammalia; Rodentia; Caviidae
Rfam family: tRNA
About the family: Transfer RNA (tRNA) molecules are approximately 80 nucleotides in length.
Source: Rfam by way of RNAcentral